GACUAACGCUGGCGGCGUGCCUAACACAUGCAAGUCGAACGAAGCAGCAAUGCUUAGUGGCAGACGGGUGAGUAACGCGUAGAUAAUGUGCCCUCUUGCGGGGGAUACCGUUUCGAAAGGAACGUUAAUACCGCAUAAAGUCCUUAGGAGGCAUCUCCCUAGGACCAAACUUCCGGGGCGGGAGGAGCAAUCUGCGUACUAUCAGCUAGUCGGUGAGGUAAUGGCUCACCAAGGCUACGACGGUUAACUGGUCUGAGAGGAUGAUCAGUCACACUGGAACUGAGACACGGUCCAGACUCCUACGGGAGGCAGCAGUGAGGAAUAUUGCGCAAUGGGCGAAAGCCUGACGCAGCGACGCCGCGUGGAGGAUGAAGGAUUUCGGUCUGUAAACUCCUGUCAGUAGGGAAGAGAAUGGACGGUACCUACUGAGGAAGCUUCGACUAACUACGUGCCAGCAGCCGCGGUAAGGUGCGCGAGU
This 478-nucleotide ribosomal RNA is filed under the name uncultured bacterium. Its description in RNAcentral is "bacterial SSU rRNA". It matches the Rfam family "Bacterial small subunit ribosomal RNA", at positions 28 to 534 of the family's 1533-position model. The record is from RNAcentral.